Molecule: RNase P RNA, 405 nt
Filed under: Dichotomicrobium thermohalophilum
Lineage: Bacteria; Pseudomonadati; Pseudomonadota; Alphaproteobacteria; Hyphomicrobiales; Hyphomicrobiaceae
Description: Bacterial RNase P class A
Rfam family: Bacterial RNase P class A
About the family: Ribonuclease P (RNase P) is a ubiquitous endoribonuclease, found in archaea, bacteria and eukarya as well as chloroplasts and mitochondria. Its best characterised activity is the generation of mature 5'-ends of tRNAs by cleaving the 5'-leader elements of precursor-tRNAs.
Source: Rfam by way of RNAcentral
UCAGCCGGCCGGAUGGCCGCCGCCGAUCCGCUCAUGUGGGGCGAAUGCGCUCUUAGCGAACGGCGGAGGAAAGUCCGGGCUCCAUGGAAACACGGUGCCGGAUAACGUCCGGCGGGGGCGACCCCAGGGAAAGUGCCACAGAAAGCAAACCGCCCGCGGCCGCGCGGGUAAGGGUGAAAGGGUGCGGUAAGAGCGCACCGCGCGACCUGGCAACAGGCGCGGCACGGCAAACCCCACCGGGAGCAAGACCGAAUAGGGGCGGCAUGAAGGUUCGCCUUCAGGUCCGUUUCCAGACCGCCGCCCGGGUUGGUUGCACGAGGCGCGCGGCAACGCGCGUCCCAGAUGAAUGGCCAUCACGCGGGCGAGCCCCGCGCACAGAACCCGGCUUACAGGCCGGCUGACAUU